ACUUUUCAGAUCUGUUUUACUUCAAAGAUUCUGAUUUACAUGCUUCUGGAAGGAUCACCUGUAAGGACAGAGCUGACUCAAGAUGGGUGAACUGAACAAAGUCAGAACAUGAAGAUCUGAGGUAUUCCAAGGCCAUAAGAGCAUAUUUU
Molecule: long non-coding RNA, 149 nt
Filed under: Junco hyemalis (dark-eyed junco)
Lineage: Eukaryota; Metazoa; Chordata; Aves; Passeriformes; Passerellidae
Description: lncRNA (ENSJHYG00000002769.1)
Source: RNAcentral